This 22-nucleotide microRNA is filed under the name Heligmosomoides polygyrus. Its description in RNAcentral is "hpo-miR-10111-3p". The record is from miRBase by way of RNAcentral. Lineage: Eukaryota; Metazoa; Nematoda; Chromadorea; Rhabditida; Heligmosomidae.
GGGAUCUGAUCGAGGCGCUCCA